GAUGAACGCUGGCGGCGUGCCUAAUACAUGCAAGUCGAGCGAACAGACGAGGAGCUUGCUCCUCUGACGUUAGCGGCGGACGGGUGAGUAACACGUGGAUAACCUACCUAUAAGACUGGGAUAACUUCGGGAAACCGGAGCUAAUACCGGAUAAUAUAUUGAACCGCAUGGUUCAAUAGUGAAAGACGGUUUUGCUGUCACUUAUAGAUGGAUCCGCGCCGCAUUAGCUAGUUGGUAGGGUAACGGCUUACCAAGGCGACGAUGCGUAGCCGACCUGAGAGGGUGAUCGGCCACACUGGAACUGAGACACGGUCCAGACUCCUACGGGAGGCAGCAGUAGGGAAUCUUCCGCAAUAGGCGAAAGCCUGACGGAGCAACGCCGCGUGAGUGAUGAAGGUCUUCGGAUCGUAAAACUCUGUUAUUAGGGAAGAACAAAUGUGUAAGUAACUAUGCACGUCUUGACGGUACCUAAUCAGAAAGCCACGGCUAACUACGUG
Molecule: ribosomal RNA, 497 nt
Filed under: uncultured bacterium
Lineage: Bacteria
Description: partial 16S ribosomal RNA
Rfam family: Bacterial small subunit ribosomal RNA
Source: RNAcentral